GAUUGAUAGAGCAUGGAACCAAUCAAACAAUGGAACUGAUCCAUGAGAGGACCUUCCCUUUUAGCCCAUGACUGCUUAGUUUGCUUUGAUGAGGGAUCUUCUCAGUGGCUUUCUGAAAGUCCAAGUCCAAGUCACUCUACCAGCCUUCCCCACCUAUUGCCUCCAUAAUUCAACCCAUUCAGUACAGCUAUAAUCUCACACUGAAUGUAUCUGCAGUGCAUGUAACAAAUUGCCAGUAUCUAUUGUGUAAGAACCUUCAGGUCUGGAACCCUGAGAGUCUGGGCCACUGAUACUUCGCAUUGUAAUGGGAGGUUUAGUCUGGGCUCCCACAGGAGGACCCUGUGAGAUUGGUCUUGGCAGGAAGUGCCACACAGCAGGACUUGAGUGGCAGCCUUUCAUGGCCCACUGAUUGGCCAGUACCACUACUGAAGCUGGCUGAGCAACAACACAACACAACAGCAGUCUGUCUCUGCUCCAGACCCUGCUUGUGAUAGACCCCAGACUCCAGCUUCCAACCGUGGCUUGUCCUCAACUUCACUAUUCAAUUGUCAUCUGUAACCUGGUGCCCGACCCCAAUCUCCUGGUAACCUGACCCUACACCUGACUCUUUGCCCAAUGGCCUAUCUCGCACACUGACCUCCUGGUACUGGACUUGGCCUGAUGCCUAGGCCUGAUCUCCCACAUCCUGGCUGUGACAUACUGCCAGUUCCAGUGAGACAGAAUCAAGAUUACAUAGAAAGGUCCACUGGUGGCUAAUGCAGCAGAUUGAGAAGCUAUCAUCAGAAAGCAGGCAUAAGACAACAAAGGUCAAUAAAGACUCUAUUCAAAUAUAGUACAUGUCAGGAUAAAGGGAUCACCAGUUUAAAUAGCGCUUAUUCUUUAGAUAGCCAUAUGCUACCUCAGAGAGCUAAAAAGAGGGCAGAGAAACUCCUGAAAAGUCAUUGCAAAGAGACUGGAAAAGCAGAUCUUGCUGUCAUAAGCACGAGUUCCAUUGGCAGCACUUUUAACAGAUAUCUAGCAUGACUGUAACUUAUGCGAUUUACAUAUAAAACGCCUUAAAGAUCAGAAAAUCAAUCAUCCAUGUUUUACUUGUCAUGCCUAUUGGUUUAAGCCAAUAUAAAACAAUGUACACUUCUUCGUAUUUUAGUUCUGUUUUGGUUUGAUUGAACCUCUAUAAACCUAUUAUGAAAGUCAGACUAUGGUAAGUCUAAGACUACUGGGGGAUAAAAAGAGGACACAAGGCAAGAUGAACAUAUCAUCAGUUUGGGCAUGGAUUUUAUCCACUGAAUAUAUUUGGAAGUUUGAUUUAGUUAAAAAUCAGACUUCAUUAUAGAGUUAAAAGUCUUUCCACGUUUUCAUGAUAAACCCUUAUUUUCAGUGAUUUAUGUAUGAGCAUUGCAAAAUGAAUGCUGGACUGACAAAGACCAAAAUUUUUUUCAAAUGUUUACUUUUGAUUUUGCAAAAUUAUAUGCACAAAAUGGAUGCUUACUGUAUACAUGUUCACUCAUUUUGUGUGCACAGUGUGAAUUUAAAUGCUCAGUGAGUAUUUUUGUAGGAGCAAAGUAAUCACCAAAUUAACAGGUUACUGAUGAGGGUAAAUUAUCAUCAGUUUGAGUGAGGGAUUCCCAUGCUGGUCCUUUGAGAAUGUAGGGAUAGAUCCCCUAUAUUUUAGUCUCAAUGGGGCUUGGAAGUGAUUAGAGGCAUAACAAUGUGCACCAGUUUAGAAUCUGCCACUUGAUCUACAAGGUCUUAAUCUAAAAGUUAACUUUUUGUUAAGUAUUUAGCCAGUAGUCAAUAAUGAGUGUAAAGAAGUGAGGUUUUAAGAUGCAGAUUUUUGCCAUUGAUAAAUAACAAUAAGGUAUGUGUUUGCUUUCCAUUACAUAUAUUUUAUGAAUUAGUUUACUAACCUAUUCAUAAGGACAUUUCAGUUGUUACAAACGAUUGGUGAUUAUGGAUCAAAUUCUGUUGGCCUUACAGGAAUAAUCCAUUUUGACUUUAAUGGGGCUACUAAUGUGAUUUAGGUGAACAAAUUUGGACUCGAUAUUAACUGUUUACAAACACUAAUUAAAUAUCUCUUAAUAGUAAAUCAGAUAAGUAACAGACAACUGUCAAUGAUAGGAUUAUAUAAGUUAUAUAGGGUCAGGUUCCUGGGUAGUCAUAAAUUCUGAGAGAAAAGCUGCUCUGAGGUGGUUUAUGUAGUCACUAAAAGCUUAGGCUGGAGUUAUAACUUUGUAAUGCAAAAUGUGCUUUUAAAAAAUAUAUUAUACUUUAUAAUUUGUGGAACUGACAAUAAAAUCCAGUCUAAAAAAUCACAAUAGAAAACAUAGCAAAUAGCUUCACAUUUUUUCACCUGAUUUUUUUUCCUUGUUGUGUAGACACCAAUGACAAACUCCCAUUUUCACACAAGAGGUAUGCAAAAACUCUAGCUGUUGUGUAACCAUCCUACUUGCCCAUUACCAUGACAUACAGAUACCAAACACGCCGUAUAAAGAAAAAUAAUUGUUGUCAUUAAAUGGAUGCUCUUUUUCUGCUCCUUCAUCAGGAAAUUAAAAUUUCUAUUGGUUGUUCCAGAAGAAAAUGUCCUGAGUAAAAGAACAUCUUUUUGGGCCGUCCUUUAUUAUGUGAAGACCUUUGCAAAGAAGGGUGAUACAAACAUACAGCCAUUUUACAAACACGGCUUCCAUCUGCGGUGAUUCAUUCCCCCGUCUCUCUUGAGCUUUGCUUUGAGUGUUGUGUUUAGAGAAAUCCCAGCUCGCUCGCUCUCUCUCAGAAAAAGGAACUGUUAUGGGAAUGGGGUAAAGGGUGUAUGGCUAUGUACAUUUGAUGUCUGAGUGGCAAAAUAGUGUACAAAGAGCAUAACAGUUGAGCCAGAGAGAAUAUACAUAAGAUAUGAGAGGACUGUUUAGGAGCCUAAAUAUCUUUGUGGAUCUGAGCCUAUGUGCCUUUCUACAAGAUAAGUUGGAGGGGGGGAAGAGGAACAGUAAAUUCAAUAGUUCUUCCAUGGAUUUGCCAUUGUAACCUACAGAAGACUCCAAAAUAUAAACUUGCACUGUAGAUAUUUCUUUGUGUUAGUUCUAUGGUAAUCACACUGAUAUAUAGCUUUCCCUCUGAUUUGUAGAAAAUGAUGGAAAUAAUUAAAUAGGUUAAAUCUGUGCUUGAGCUAACAAUGCUUGAAAUAUUGGCUUGCAUAUGAUUUUGUUUUUCAUGUAUAAUGUUCUUCCUAUGAAUUAUUCGUGGACUUGUUUAUUGUAAUCACAGUCUACAGAGAAAACAGUCUCAGGAAGCCACAUUUACUGAACAUAAUGUAACUUUUUG
Molecule: long non-coding RNA, 3315 nt
Organism: Dermochelys coriacea (leatherback sea turtle)
Lineage: Eukaryota; Metazoa; Chordata; Testudines; Dermochelyidae
Exons: 3
Source: RefSeq, a predicted model, not a curated record